RNAcentral lists this ribosomal RNA (468 nucleotides) under uncultured bacterium. RNAcentral describes it as "partial 16S ribosomal RNA". It matches the Rfam family "Bacterial small subunit ribosomal RNA", at positions 28 to 507 of the family's 1533-position model. The record is from RNAcentral.
GACGAACGCUGGCGGCGUGCUUAACACAUGCAAGUCGAACGGAAAGGCCCUGCUUUUGUGGGGUUCUCGAGUGGCGAACGGGUGAGUAACACGUGAGUAACCUGCCCUUGACUUUGGGAUAACUUCAGGAAACUGGGGCUAAUACCGGAUAGGAGCUCCUGCUGCAUGGUGGGGGUUGGAAAGUUUCGGCGGUUGGGGAUGGACUCGCGGCUUAUCAGCUUGUUGGUGGGGUAGUGGCUUACCAAGGCUUUGACGGGUAGCCGGCCUGAGAGGGUGACCGGCCACAUUGGGACUGAGAUACGGCCCAGAAUCGUACGGGAGGCAGCAGUGGGGAAUAGUGCACAAUGGGCGGACGCCUGAUGCAGCAACGCCGCGUGCGGGAUGACGGCCUUUGGGUUGUAAACCGCUGUCGACUGUGACGAAGCGUGAGUGACGGUAAUGGGUAAAGAAGCACCGGCUAACUACGUG